CUGGGGCUCCGCGAUCCACAGCAGAGGACACCAAGGGCUGGCACCCCUCCGGCAGGAAACGGCACCACACCUUCGGAGCCCUGAUGUCCUGGAGCCGGUAGUGGCACUGCACCAGGAUGGCGCCCCCCACAGGGUGACUGAGGAGCAAACACGCCUUGGAAGCCGAAGACAGUGUAUCAGCUCCAGAGAGACUUGCUUUCAUCCUUCCCCUCUCUCCCUGGAGAUCUGCUUACCUUCUGGAGUGAAGCUCUCUCUCUCCCCGGAGAAGAAGGGCCAAUGUGCCAGAUGCUGUAUAUAAGCUCCCAGUCUCAUAAUUUGGGUUCCUCUCCCAUGACACAAACCCACUGCCUGUACAGGAAACAUCUGGCCCUCAUUCAUGUCACCCUGUGCAGACUUGGGGUUGGGAGAUCCUGCAGAGAAUGUAAGUAAUAAAGGUCCUGCCCUGGAUCACCAGGGGGCAUCCGUGCUCAGACCACCAGAGCCGGCAGUGGGUGACUGGGCGGGGGGGGGCACUGCCCUGGGCUGGGCAGUCACACCUAGAAAGGGGGCUAGAGAAACCACCCUCCCUCCAGCCGCUCCCUCCUUUCUCUCCUUCCCUCUCUCUGCCUCCCCCCUUCCUUCAGGAGCAGGGAGUUGAGCUGGGAAACUGGGAGCAGGAGCCAGAGAGAGCCGGAAAAUGUGUUAGGCUGAACCUAGUGGAAGUGGAAAAGGGGUGACCGGCUAUCCCUGUUUGCCUGGGACUGAGGGUUUUCCCAGGACAUGGGACUUUCAGUACUAACACUGGCAAAGUCUGGGGCAAACCAGACAGAUGGGUCACCCUAGCAGGUGAUGUGGAAGGACCGAUAUCUGUCCUGCCAAUAUGUGUCAGGCUUUCUUUGAUUCCCUUACAACAAAAUUAUUUACAGACUCAUAGCCACAUGGGAGUGUUGUGUGACAGAGAGACCUGUCCUCAGUUAGGUAACUGAGUGCCUGAAAUGGAACAGUCUACUGCUGGAUGCCAGGACAGAGGUGCCCAGGCAGGACGCUGGCCUCUAGGGAGGUGUCGCAUCCCUUUGUGCUGAAGCCGGGGAUAAUCCAGGACCUAUGAUGUGACAGGCAUCUAGCCAAAGCCUUUCAUUAAUGGUGUUUCAUUCAACCUCAUGAAAACCCAGCAAAGCAGGGAUGUUUUGUUUUUUAAUAGGUGGGGAUUCUGAGGAGCAGAGAAAUGAAGGAGCUUGCUUACGGUUUCAUAGGAAAAGCUGAAGUUUGCAACCGAAUUAUCAGACCCCCUUUUUAGUCCAGUGUGUGCCCCAGAGUCCAAGGGCAGGGGAUCCCAAUGGCAAUCCAAACCCCGAGGUGGAUGUCCCCAACGUAGCAGACCAGGAAAGAGAAAGGGCAAGCUCCCGAGAGCAGGAAGGCCGCAGCCUUGCCGGAGCUGCCUCCUCCCCUACCAUCUCAUCAGCAUCGGUGCCCUGAGGGGGCACCAGGGAGGCAGAGGCGGAGCUGGCUCUGGCCUGGAUCCUAGGCUAGGGCCAAGGUCCAUGCGAAGGAGACCAGGGCCGGGAAGCGCUGAAAGCAUCACGUGCUGCUGAGUCAGGGGGCCGGGGAAAGAGGUUGGGCCGGAACACACUCCAGGCAGCAGCCCAGGGAUGGGGUGGGGCAGUGCUGCGGCAGGCCUGGGGCCCAAUGAUGUGUCCCUGCGGCUGGGACACAAGGGCAGCACUGGGGGUCCCUUCUGGGCACCCAUGCCCACAUUAGGGGACAAAGCAGCCACAUGUGGCCUUGGCUAGAGGGUUUCCUGCACUUCCACCUUCCUGAGAUGCAGGAGAGACAGCUGGAGGAUGUGGUCGCCUUGUUUCCCCAUCUUCCAGGUGGCACACCUGGGGAAGUCUUCCGCCAGGUCCCCCUCACUCUUGGACGGGUAUGUAUGUGUAUUGAAGAGAGAGAUGAGGUUCCCUGGGCUGCCCUGGCUGUUCCAUCUUCCCAGAAUACUCUGCCCCCGGAGAGCCUCAUGAUUCGCUUCCUUGACCCCUCCAAGUGCUUCUCAAAUGGGACCUCCUGACCCUCCUUUACAGUCACAUCAUGCCCUGUCCCUUCUGUGUUCCUGAGGCCCCCAACCCUGCUUCAUUUUAAUUUUUCCUCAGCAGUUUUGCCUUUUCACACACCAUCUGGUUGUCGCCCUUCUCCGCCCUUUACAACUUGGCUCUCCAUUGGGCACAAAUCUUUGCCUGUUUAUUUUACUGCUGUGCCUCUAAUGCCCAGAACAGUACCUUGCACAGAAAAUACCUGUUGAAUAAUCAAUGACUGAAGGAGCAGGAGGGAGCUAGAGGGAAGGACACCUUGAACACCAAGCAAAAUUUGGAUUUCCAGGCUCUGCCAGAGACUGGGCUCCUUGGAGAUACAAGGACAGCAUGUGGGAGGCCUCGAGGUGGCCUACAGCCUGGAAUCUGCCCUCAGAGAAGGAAUGGAGACACCUGGAGCUUCCAUGGACUCAGGACACCUCCUCACUCAGCACAAUGCCUGGGAUGGGGCUUUGUGGGGCUUCGAGGAACUACAAUCAGAAGACCUGUGUUCUGGGCAUAAGUCUACCUGCUGAAUACAUUUAAACACAUCUCCUCCCUGGA
This is a long non-coding RNA of Manis javanica (Malayan pangolin), 2603 nucleotides long. RefSeq lists it as uncharacterized. Lineage: Eukaryota; Metazoa; Chordata; Mammalia; Pholidota; Manidae. The record is from RefSeq and is a predicted model, not a curated record.